AUGUCCCAUUGGAUCCCGUAGGUGACCCCAAUGUCCCAUUGAUGUCCCUAUGGGCCCCAUUGGGGUCUUCAUGUCCCUUUGGGGUCCCCCAUGUCCCAUUGAUGUCCCCAUGUCCCAUUAGGGUCCUCCAUGUCCCAUUGGGGUCUCCACGCCCCAUUGGGGUCUUCCACGUCCCCAUAUGUCCCCAUGGGUCCCCACUGAGUUCCUCCAUGUCCCAUUGGGAUCUUCACGUCCCAUUAGGGACACUGGGUCCCAUUGGGUCCCAUUAGGGUCUCCAUGUCCCAUUGGUGUCCUCAUACCCCAUUGGGGUCCUCCACAUCCCCAUAUGUCCCCGUGGGUCCCCAUUGAGUUCUUCCAUGCUCCCAUGGAUCCCAUUGGGGUCCCCAUGUCCUAUUGGGGUCCCCAUGGAUCCCAUUGGGGUCCUCCAUCUCCCACUGAUGUCUCCAUGGGUCCCAUUGUGUUCCCCAUGUCCCGUUGGGGUCCUCCAUGUCCCGUUGGGUCCCCAUGGUGUCCCCAUAUCCCACUGGGGUCUCCACAUCCCCAUAUGUCCCCAUGGAUCCCAUUGGGGUCUCCAUGUCCCACUGAUGUCCCCAUGGGUCCCACUGAGGUCCUCCACGUCCCCAUGUCAUCAAUCACUCUUUUAUUGAACACCUCCUACAAAAAGCCCCCCAAAGACCCCCAUAAUCCCCCCCAUCCCUCCCAUAUCCCCCCCAUAACCCCCCCAGCCCCCCAACUCACUCCCACUGAGCGAUGGCCGCCAUCAUGGCCACCCCGGCCAGCAGCGCGGCCAGCUGCAGCAGGGACUGCAUGGGGACGUCCCAUUGGGGUCCUCCGUGUCCCAUUGGGGUCUUCAUGUCCCACUGACGUCCCCAUGGAUCCCAUUGGGGUCCCUCAUGUCCCACUGAUGUCCCCAUGGGUCCCACUGAGGUCCUCCACGUUCCCACGUCAUCGAUCACUCUUUUAUUGAACACCUCCUACAAAAAGCCCCCCAAAGACCCCCAUAAUCCCCACAUCCCUCCCAUAUCCCCCCAAAGACCCCCCCAGCCCCCC
RNAcentral lists this long non-coding RNA (1050 nucleotides) under Phasianus colchicus (ring-necked pheasant). RNAcentral describes it as "lncRNA (ENSPCLG00000020283.1)". Lineage: Eukaryota; Metazoa; Chordata; Aves; Galliformes; Phasianidae. The record is from RNAcentral.